Oryctolagus cuniculus (rabbit) is the source of this 2919-nucleotide long non-coding RNA. The record is from Ensembl. Lineage: Eukaryota; Metazoa; Chordata; Mammalia; Lagomorpha; Leporidae.
CCUUCCCUUUCUCCCUCUACCUACCUCUGUCUCCCUCCCUCCUUCUCUCCCUUCUCCCUCCCUCCGUCUUCCUCCCUCCCUACCUCCCUCCCUCCCUUUCUCCUUUCUCCCUCUCCCUCCCUCCCUCUCUCCUCCUUCCCCUCCCUCCCCUCUCUCCCCUCUCUCCCUCUCCCUCCCUCUGUCUCCCUCCCCUCCUUCUCUCCCUCUCCCUUCCUCCAUCUCCCUCCCUCUCCCUCCCUCUCCCUCUCUCUGGAACUCUGGCUUUCAAAUAAAUAAAUCUUAAAAAAAAAAAAAAUGAUGGCUGCAAAGUCUUCCCAAUGCCCGUCAUGGAGAUGUGGGUCUCAGUUUCCCUCCCUGUUGGAGCUGGCAUGCCUGGUGACUUGCGCUGGUCAAGAGAACGUGGCAUCGUCACUGUGGGGCCCUCAGAGAGGUGGCUUCUGUGGGCCUUUGAGCCGCAUAACUUCUCAGAGCCCAGGCGCUGGGCGGGGAGGACCCCUGCCCACAGGGUGGGGGAGGCCCACACCCACCAGCAACCCCAGCACCGAUGGCCGGACCGUGCCCGCCUGCCUUGGCGGUCACGUCCUCCCCUCGCCAGCAGAAGUGGUCGCCGAGCCCCAGGGGGCGUAUUCAGCACUGGACGUGUGGCUGAUACAGGAUGGGCUCUGCUACCUUAGGCUUCCUCUGGCAAGAAAGACGAGGCGGACCCUGUAAUGGCCUCCCUGCGUCCAUCCUCAUCCUGGUUCUGCCUGCUGGCCGCUUCUCACUCAGGGACGCCGCUGUCAAAUGCAGUAAGAACAUGUCACACUCGUGCCUGAAAAUCCACGAUGGCUCCCCGGCCCCCUGCACCACGCUCCCGGGGCCUGAGGCACUGGACAAGGAAGCAGUGGCGGGGGAAACAGCGCCCCCUGGAACUGCACGAAGCCACGGAGGCGAGACAGCCACACAGGACGUUGGCAGGAAGGGUCGAGAGGACGCCUUCCGCGUGCUCAAAAGGCUGAUUUCAUCCACUUAGGUUCUAAAAAAAAAUUGCUGGUAGUCCCCUUUGAGAAAGCAGAAAAAGAGAAGAAGGGAGAAUGCCCGGGUUAUCAUCAACUACUUUUCAUUAACAAUAUUUUGUCUUUCAUUGUGAUAAAAUACACAUAAUAGAACAUUUACCAUCUGAACCUGUGUUAAGGGCACCAUUGAUUCUGUGACAUUAAUUAGCAUAUUCACAGUGUUCGGCACGUGUCCUCUCCCCCAGCUGACACUGUCCCAGGGAACCCAGCAACCCCCCCACCACGCCCCUUCCUGGCUCUGUGGUUCUGGCUCCUAGAAACCGCCCACAAGCAAAGUCCUUUGUUGACUGGCUGGUUUCGUUAGUGUAAUAUCCUCAAGGCUCAUCCAUGCGGGAGAAGGUGUCCGAGUUUUGCUGGUGAGUUCAUCUGAUGACGGACGCUUACGGACGCUUGGGCUGCUUCCGCCUCUGGGCUAUUGUGAAAAAAUGCUGUGAUGAACAUGGGUGUGCAAAUAACCGGGUCUCCCCUUUCAAUUCUUUGGGGGUGUCUGCCAGAAGUGGGACUGCUGGGCCAGAUGAUAAUUCUAUACCUAAUUUUUUGAGGAGCCGCCAAAAUGUUUUCCUUAGUGAAAAAAAGUGUAUUCUAACUACUAUAAAGUUAUUUCCAAAAACCCUCGCUGGUGCUUUACAACAAAACCAAACCGUGCCAGAGGAAGUGAGUUGUUGAAGGUACUGUUUCUUGUGCAUCGUUGUAGAACAUUCCUAAGCAUAUGCAAGCUGUGGGCGUGUGCAGUUUUCUUACACAACCAGGAUCCUCCUAAGCUAGGUAUUGCAUUGACCUUUUUUUUUUUUUGACAGGCAGAGUGGACAGUGAGAGAGAGAGAGACAGAGAGAAAGGUCUUCCUUUUUGCCGUUGGUUCACCCUCCAAUGGCCACCGCGACCAGCAUGCUGCAGCCAGCGCACCACGCUGAUCCGAUGGCAGGAGCCAGGUGCUUCUCCUGGUCUCCUAUGGGGUGCAGGGCCCAAGCACUUGGGCCAUCCUCCACUGCACUCCCUGGCCACAGCAGAGAGCUGGCCUGGAGAAGGGGUAACCAGGACAGAAUCUGGCACCCCGACCGGGACUAGAACCCGGUGUGCCGGCACUGCAAAGCAGAGGAUUAGCCUAUUGAGCCAUGGCGCUGGCGCAUUGACUUUUAAAACACAGAGGGAAAGGUUUGCCAUUUGCUGGUUCACUCCCCAACUGGCCACAACGGCCAGAGCUGUGCCAAUCUGAAGCCAGGGGCCAGGAGCUUCUUCCAGGUUUCCCACAUGGGUGCAGGGGCCCAAGCACUUGGACCAUUUUCUACUGCUUUCCCAGGCCAUAGCAGAGAGCAGGAUUGGAAUUGGGGCAGCGGGGACUUGAACCGAUGCCCAUAUGGAUGCCAGCACUGCAGGCAGAGUUAGCCUCCUAUGCCACAGCGCUGGCCCCAGCACACUGUUUUCAAGGUUGAUCCAUCUUGGACCAUGUGUCAGUACUUUAUUCCUUCUUAUGGCUGAAGCACAUUGCGCUGUAGGGAGAGACCACGUUUUCGUCACUGUUGGUUAUUAAGAAUAACACUGCUGGAGCUGGUGUUGUAGCACAGCCGGAUGUGAUGCCAGAAUCCCAUAUGGGCGCAGGUUCAAGUCCCAGCUGCUCCACUUUCGAUCCAGCUCCCUGCUAACGUGCCUGGGAAAGCAGCAGCAGAAGGCCCAAGUGCUUGGAGCUCUGGCACCCACGUGGGAUACCGGGAUGGAAUUCCAGGCUCUUGGCUCCGGCCUGGCCCAUCCCUGGCCAUUGUGGCCAUCUGGGGAGUGACCCAGCGAAUGGAAAAAUCUCUUUGUCUCUCCCUCUCUGUUAACUCUGCCUUUCAAACAAAUAAACAAAUCUUAAAAAAAUAAUAAUGCA